UCUUGGUGCAGAGGCUUGCACCUGUAGUCCCAGCUACUUUGGAAGCUGAGACAGGAGGAUUGCUUGAGCCUGGGAGUUCAAGGACAGCCAGGACAACAUGGUAGGACCCAGUUCU
Molecule: small RNA, 115 nt
Filed under: Marmota monax (woodchuck)
Lineage: Eukaryota; Metazoa; Chordata; Mammalia; Rodentia; Sciuridae
Source: RNAcentral